GCGGGGAACACAACUCAACAAAAUCAACGGUCUGCGUGGGCUUCCCAAGCUGAAUAUACGGGUUCGAUUCCCGUCGCCCGCUCCA
Molecule: transfer RNA, 85 nt
Filed under: Methylobacterium brachythecii
Lineage: Bacteria; Pseudomonadati; Pseudomonadota; Alphaproteobacteria; Hyphomicrobiales; Methylobacteriaceae
Description: tRNA-Ser
Source: RNAcentral